Molecule: long non-coding RNA, 1574 nt
Filed under: Vitis vinifera (wine grape)
Lineage: Eukaryota; Viridiplantae; Streptophyta; Magnoliopsida; Vitales; Vitaceae
Description: long non-coding RNA (VVIN_LNC004588)
Source: RNAcentral
GCAGAAUAUGAGGGAAAUUUGAAGGGAAUCCUUGGUUACACUAAUGAUGAUGUGAUAUCAAGUGAUUUUGUGGGAGACUUCAUGUCACACCCCAAAUUCUGGGCAACCCAAAAUUUGGCCUAUGACCCCAGGUCAAAGGUUUGACCCUAAGGGUUCCUCCUAAUACACGUUCUGAAAUUAUUUUUAUUUUUCUACGCAUAAUCACACUAAAGCUCCCUCCAAUUAACAAUUCAAUUUAUCAACAUACUAACCACUACUCAAGAGCAAUUAUAUAUAAUAAUGAUCAUUAAAAUCUAGAAAUAAGAGUUCACAAUUGAACAAAUUAAUCAAAAUAAAGUCUCAUUACAAAAAUAUAGUUUCAAAGUUUGCUAAUACAAGUCCCAAAAUAGCCAACAUAACAAAUACACUACAAUUCGAUAGGCUGCUCCAAGAUCUCCUAGGGCAUCUUAAAGUCCUCCUUACCUCACCUAUGGAUCCUCAGGAGUUACAUCUACAUCUAAAAAGAUGUAAAAAGAAAGGGGUGAGCAUUCCACAUUGCUUAGUAGGAUGUCUUACAUAGGGUGUCUUACACCUAAGGGGUUAAUUGGAAUACUAAGUUCCAAGUGAAUACAAAAGAAACAUUCGACCAGCAUUGGUCAACCCACAUAUUUUAAUUUCUAUAAUUAUAACAAUUCCACAAUUUUCAACAAUUAAAUAAAAUGCAUAUAAAUAUGUGACACACACACUCAUACAAUGCAUUGUCGUUCUCGGGCUUUCAUUGAAUGAUACACGUUCGUACCCAAAUACACUCCCCAUUUGAAGUCUUAUUUUUGGGUCUUUCACCCUUGGGAUCUUUCUCUCUUCUUAAUUUGUCACACAUGAGCCUUUACUGUUCAUUAGUAUUUCAUUUUUCUUCUUUUUUUCAUUUCAUGCACUUUUCUCAAUUUUUAUUUUUUCCUUCACACAACCAUGAUGCAAAUGAAAUGCACUGAGGUCAAUUAUAUUAUUCGCAAAUAUCACAAUAUCAAAUAAAAAUUUUCAACUAGUCUAAAUAUUAUUGAAAUUACAAUCAUACCACAAUUUCAUAAUUUUUCAACAAUCCCAAUAAUUCAAAUAAUCAAAUAUAAUUAUUUUCUCCAUAAUAAAAUUAUCAAAAACAAUAAAAUAAAUUUCCAACAAUUCAAAUCUCAAUUAAACAUAAUUUAUAGCAAAAUUCCAUAAUUUUCUAACAACACCAAUACUCCAAUAAUCAAAUAUAAUUAUCUUUCCACAAUAAAAUUGUCAAAAAUAUUCCAAUAAAUUAUCAAAAAAUCCACAUAUUAAUAAAUUAUAAUUUAUACGACAAUUUCAUUUAUUCUCAACAAUUCCAUUAAUUUUAACAACCCAAAUGCAAUCAUUUAUCGAUCAAAAAAAAAAAAAAAUUCGUCAGCACCAAAUUUUCAAAAAUAUUCCCAAAUCAUCUAAUCAAAUUUCCUAUAUCACAAAUAUUACCUAUUUAUCUCCUAACAACAAAAUUUAUAAUCUUUUUCAAGAAAAAAAAUAUUUAAUUAAAGUUUUAGGGUUAAGUUUCCUUACCACAGUUCUACCAAUUGGAC